RNAcentral lists this transfer RNA (77 nucleotides) under Caudoviricetes sp. Its description in RNAcentral is "tRNA-Phe". It matches the Rfam family "tRNA". From Rfam's summary of the family: Transfer RNA (tRNA) molecules are approximately 80 nucleotides in length. Their secondary structure includes four short double-helical elements and three loops (D, anti-codon, and T loops). Lineage: Duplodnaviria; Heunggongvirae; Uroviricota; Caudoviricetes. The record is from RNAcentral.
GGAAGGGUAGCUUAUGAGGUCUGAGCGGCGGUCUGAAAAACCGUAGGGUGGAGGUUCGAUACCUCUCCCUUCCACCA